Molecule: long non-coding RNA, 1615 nt
Organism: Leopardus geoffroyi (Geoffroy's cat)
Lineage: Eukaryota; Metazoa; Chordata; Mammalia; Carnivora; Felidae
Exons: 3
Source: RefSeq, a predicted model, not a curated record
UAUUGCAUGGCCUCCUCUUUGACGUUUCUUUGAGGAGUUUAUACUGAAAAAAUUUUGAUGUUAAUUCUUUUUCAGAAACAGGUAUAAAUGUGAUGGAUAAAAGGAAAAAUAAAAACAGAUUCAGUUGAAAGUUUACCUAUGAAAAUAACAGGAAAUAAUCUUCCUUUCAGAGGAGAAAGUAGAAAAAUAAUUGUUGGGCUGCAGAAAGAGGCAGCUUACCACAAGAAAACACUGUGGACAAAUACCAGAGUCACCUUCAGAAGAUUGUAAAUGGAAAAGAGCAGAAGGCUGUCUGGCUAAGGAGCCAGGGAUGGAGUCACCCCGUGGAGAUGAGUCUCCUAUUGCUUUGUUUAUUUUUUCCUUGCCUCUGGUAUAUAUCUGACUGGGAAGUAGGAAAGACCACAACCCCAUAAAUAAAUAUCCAUAGUUUUAAUCAGUAAAGACUCCCUGCAAAGCCUCCUCUCUGUUUAUUCACAAAACUGGCCAAAGGUGGCCCAGCAGAACAAAAACCUUUUAACCAUACCGACCUGUUGCCUAGACCAAUACCAGGGAAGAAAUUGUGCCCUUUCCCCAUCCCAUGGGAUGAAUUCUUUAGAAAUUAUCUAAAAGCACCCAGAUUGUGAGCUGGGGAGCCAAUGUCUCUCUGAGGGUUGGGGGAGUUCUCUGGACACUGAAUAUAAUCUUUGCUGUGAAACCCGGGUUCUGCUUUCCUUUUUGAGAUUCCAUUAAAAGUUCUGUGGUAGGAUCCACUCAGCCCAGCCAUGAUCAUGCUCUUGCCCCCCACCCCCCCCCCCCCCGCCAUGAUCAAACUCUUCUGUGGGCUGUCAUAUUAGAUGAAUAUAAGACUUUUCUCUUGAGGGUUUUCACCUUGACAUUUUCUAGAAAAACCUAGUCACCUCUUCACCUCAUUUAUCUACAAAUUAAAGGCUAUCAUGGAGAGUUUUCAGAUUAACUGAUUCACUUUCUUUGCCCUUACUGCUUUUGUGACGGAGGUGACUUAGGUGACAGGAAAAGCCUGUGAUGAACUGUAAUCAGGAAUCAUGUUUUACUAAGUUAUAUACAGAACUGCACAAAAUAAUGCUAAAGCACGAGCAGUUGGAAAUGUUAAAACCUGACUUUUCUCUUUCUUUGGGUAAUUUGAUGACCUUGAGUAAAUCAUUUAAACUCUCUCUACCUUUGUCUGCAAAUACCUACAGUAUACUUUUUAAAGUCCCAGAAAUGCUAUGAAUAUAUAAUUGUUUCAAGAGUGAAAAACUAUUCUAUUUCAAAAAGAAUGACAGUGUAUAAAUUCAAUAAGAAUGUAUGAUUUCGUGCAGUAACGAGUGAUGAAUAAAAAGAUUCUCUCUCUUUGCCUUUUUCCGGCUGCACACUGGUACUCUGAAAUGUACUUGUUAUGCCUCGUCCUUCUUCACACGGAGCUGGUUAGGCACAGACUCAAUGAAUAGUUUCACCUUUAAUGUUCUUUAAGUUCCAUUCAAGCCACCAUUUCACUGUAUGCACUUUGCUUCAAAUAAUAAGUUCGUUUACACGUAUUCAAUUCUAAAUACAAUAUAGUGCUGGUAUUGAAUAAUACCUAAUCAGUAGCAAAAAUAUGUGACAAAGCCUUGUCCAGUUA